UGGGGAAUAUUGCACAAUGGGCGCAAGCCUGAUGCAGCCAUGCCGCGUGUAUGAAGAAGGCCUUCGGGUUGUGAAGCACUUUCAGCGGGGAGGAAGGCGGUGAGGUUAAUAACCUCAUCGAUUGACGUUACCCGCAGAAGAAGCACCGGCUAACUCCGUGCCAGCAGCCGCGGUAAUACGGAGGGUGCAAGCGUUAAUCGGAAUUACUGGGCGUAAAGCGCACGCAGGCGGUCUGUCAAGUCGGAUGUGAAAUCCCCGGGCUCAACCUGGGAACUGCAUUCGAAACUGGCAGGCUAGAGUCUUGUAGAGGGGGGUAGAAUUCCAGGUGUAGCGGUGAAAUGCGUAGAGAUCUGGAGGAAUACCGGUGGCGAAGGCGGCCCCCUGGACAAAGACUGACGCUCAGGUGCGAAAGCGUGGGGGGCAAACAGGAUUAGAUACCCUGGUAGUCCACGCCGUAAACGAUGUCGAUUUGGAGGUUGUGCCCUUGAGGCGUGGCUUCCGGAGCUAACGCGUUAAAUCGACCGCCUGGGGGAGUACGGCCGCAAGGUUA
RNAcentral lists this ribosomal RNA (550 nucleotides) under uncultured bacterium. RNAcentral describes it as "bacterial SSU rRNA". It matches the Rfam family "Bacterial small subunit ribosomal RNA", at positions 355 to 896 of the family's 1533-position model. The record is from RNAcentral.